This 216-nucleotide ribosomal RNA is filed under the name Glomeromycotina sp. RNAcentral's name for it is "partial small subunit ribosomal RNA". The stretch from base 40 to 216 matches the Rfam family "Eukaryotic small subunit ribosomal RNA", at positions 686 to 864 of the family's 1831-position model. Lineage: Eukaryota; Fungi; Glomeromycota. The record is from RNAcentral.
GGGUCAGUAGGUUGGUCGUGCCACCGGUACGUACUGGUCUCACUGAUUCCUCCUUCCUGAAGAACCGUAGUGCUAUUAAUUUGGUGUUGCGGGGAAACAGGACUGUUACUUUGAAAAAAUUAGAGUGUUUAAAGCAAGCUAACGCUUGAAUACAUUAGCAUGGAAUAAUGAAAUAGGACGAUCGAUCCUAUUUUGUUGGUUUCUAGGAUUGACGUA